This 253-nucleotide ribosomal RNA is filed under the name uncultured bacterium. RNAcentral's name for it is "partial 16S ribosomal RNA". It matches the Rfam family "Bacterial small subunit ribosomal RNA", at positions 524 to 776 of the family's 1533-position model. The record is from RNAcentral.
UACGGAGGGGGCUAGCGUUGUUCGGAAUUACUGGGCGUAAAGCGCGCGUAGGCGGCUAUUUAAGUCAGGGGUGAAAGCCCGGAGCUCAACUCCGGAACUGCCUUUGAGACUGGAUAGCUAGAAUCUUGGAGAGGCGAGUGGAAUUCCGAGUGUAGAGGUGAAAUUCGUAGAUAUUCGGAAGAACACCAGUGGCGAAGGCGACUCGCUGGACAGGUAUUGACGCUGAGGUGCGAAAGCGUGGGGAGCAAACAGG